RNAcentral lists this ribosomal RNA (305 nucleotides) under uncultured bacterium. Its description in RNAcentral is "bacterial SSU rRNA". It matches the Rfam family "Bacterial small subunit ribosomal RNA", at positions 331 to 656 of the family's 1533-position model. The record is from RNAcentral.
UCAGCCUACGGGGGGCAGCAGUGGGGAAUAUUGCACAAUGGGGGAAACCCUGAUGCAGCGACGCCGCGUGAGUGAGGAAGUAUUUCGGUAUGUAAAGCUCUAUCGGCAGGGAAGAAAAUGACGGUACCUGACUAAGAAGCCCCGGCUAACUACGUGCCAGCAGCCGCGGUAAUACGUAGGGGGCAAGCGUUAUCCGGAUUUACUGGGUGUAAAGGGAGCGUAGGCGGCGAUGAAAGUCAGAAGUGAAAGCCCGGGGCUCAACUCCGGGACUGCUUUUGAAACUGUGUUGCUAGAUUGCAGGAGAG